RNAcentral lists this ribosomal RNA (453 nucleotides) under Triticum aestivum (bread wheat). Its description in RNAcentral is "partial small subunit ribosomal RNA". The record is from RNAcentral. Lineage: Eukaryota; Viridiplantae; Streptophyta; Magnoliopsida; Poales; Poaceae.
AUGAAAGCAUACGUUACAGAGGGUAUGCUUGACAAGGCCAUUGCUCUCAAGAAGCGUGCCAAGAUGCGCGGAGGAAGGCUUAACGCGAAGACGUGGGAGAUUUUCAUGGAGCACUAUCUCAAGGUAGGGGAUCUGAAGAAUACCCAUUGGUGCACCGACCGUGCAAUCAAGAAGGGACACAGCAGCUGCAGGAUUUGGGUGCCACCACAUGACGUGACCAAGACCUUGAUUGACAACUUUGAGAAGAAGAAAGACGUGGACGGCGCUGAGAGUUUUGUCGAGGUGCUAAAGAGGGUGCAGAAAGAUCUGGGGACGGUGGUGUUUGAGCCGCUGGCACGGACGUAUGCGGCGGCUGGGAAGAAGUUCCCCGGGAAGCGACACCGUCUGAAGAUCGAAAACGUGGAACUCAACGAGGAAACUGACAAGCUGGUCGAUUCCAUCUGUGUUGAUUGA